Molecule: ribosomal RNA, 465 nt
Filed under: Vreelandella stevensii
Lineage: Bacteria; Pseudomonadati; Pseudomonadota; Gammaproteobacteria; Oceanospirillales; Halomonadaceae
Description: partial 16S ribosomal RNA
Rfam family: Bacterial small subunit ribosomal RNA
Source: RNAcentral
CCUACGGGUGGCUGCAGUGGGGAAUAUUGGACAAUGGGGGGAACCCUGAUCCAGCCAUGCCGCGUGUGUGAAGAAGGCCCUCGGGUUGUAAAGCACUUUCAGUGAGGAAGAACGCCUGGUGGUUAAUACCCAUCAGGAAAGACAUCACUCACAGAAGAAGCACCGGCUAACUCCGUGCCAGCAGCCGCGGUAAUACGGAGGGUGCGAGCGUUAAUCGGAAUUACUGGGCGUAAAGCGCGCGUAGGUGGCUUGAUAAGCCGGUUGUGAAAGCCCCGGGCUCAACCUGGGAACGGCAUCCGGAACUGUCAAGCUAGAGUGCAGGAGAGGAAGGUAGAAUUCCCGGUGUAGCGGUGAAAUGCGUAGAGAUCGGGAGGAAUACCAGUGGCGAAGGUGGCCUUCUGGACUGACACUGACACUGAGGUGCGAAAGCGUGGGUAGCAAACAGGAUUAGAUACCCUGGUAGUC